RNAcentral lists this small RNA (133 nucleotides) under Klebsiella aerogenes. RNAcentral's name for it is "RtT sRNA". It matches the Rfam family "RtT RNA". From Rfam's summary of the family: This family represents a bacterial cis-regulatory element known as RtT RNA. RNAcentral also lists the same sequence under 2 other names. Lineage: Bacteria; Pseudomonadati; Pseudomonadota; Gammaproteobacteria; Enterobacterales; Enterobacteriaceae. The record is from RNAcentral.
UGUUUGCACUUAGCGGGAAGGGUAAGAACCUUAGACUAAGGUUCGACUCGAGCGCCAGCGAGAGAACGUUGCCAUAGGCAACGGCCCGAAGGACGAGGAGCGAUAGCGACGAGUUAUCCUUCCCCCACCACCA